UUCGCCAUUACAGGAAAACUCAGAACGACUCUCUGGUUUUCCUUUUUUUUUUACCUGAAGUGACCAGAGACGGAGUGUGGGAAACCGGGUCCUGGGCAGAACCAGGAGAAAAUGUCCCCUAAGAAACCUCAGAGGCUGUCUUUCAGAUCCGAAUCAUGGGCUGAGAUCAUCCGUCCAUCCUCCUCUCCAGUGUAGCACGAUCUUCUGCUGCUGCAGGGAUUACAGGAGGAGCAGUGAUGGGGCACACUAUGCUGGUUUCACAGUGAAUUAGCAUGCUGCUGUUGUGUUGGCCAGCACAAUGUAGGUUACCGAGAGGAAGAGCAGGCAGGUGACGCUCUCAGUGCUGGCCUUUUCUGGACGCUGGUGCAAGAGCAGCCCAGGUGACGGCUCAGAGAGCUUCAACCUCGAAGACCUGUGAGGCGGACAUGAAUUAUAAAGGCGAACGCCUUUGAAGUGUUAUGAAGAACUUUCAUCCAUUGCUUGCUUGGUAAAGAAAUGAAGCUUGAGGAUUUAGGAUAAACCUUUGACAAGACUUUAGUUUCAGAAACUUCCUGAAUGUGUGGAAAAGGGGUGAAGAAGGCAGCACUGCUGCUCAGCCAAAUUCAACCAGCUCUAUAUGCCGAUGUCCUCCCAAAAGGGACACGGCCCCUGCUUAAAUUGCAGGUUUUCAUGAUGGAGCAGGAUGAAUGAUUUGAAAACAUUUUCAACAAAUUUAUCCACUAAAGUUUAUCUG
Long non-coding RNA from Poecilia reticulata (guppy), 733 nucleotides. RefSeq lists it as uncharacterized. The record is from RefSeq and is a predicted model, not a curated record. Lineage: Eukaryota; Metazoa; Chordata; Actinopteri; Cyprinodontiformes; Poeciliidae.